This 23-nucleotide non-coding RNA is filed under the name Arabidopsis thaliana (thale cress). Lineage: Eukaryota; Viridiplantae; Streptophyta; Magnoliopsida; Brassicales; Brassicaceae. The record is from RNAcentral.
AGGACGAGUUGGCGGGACGGGUU